Non-coding RNA from Pelobates cultripes (western spadefoot toad), 925 nucleotides. Lineage: Eukaryota; Metazoa; Chordata; Amphibia; Anura; Pelobatidae. The record is from the annotation of a GenBank genome assembly.
CCUUGGCAGAGCUCGCAUACUACCUGGCGAGUGGAGCUUGAACCCCAGAGUUUUUUGAGUUCUGACGAAGAGGUGGGGCAUACCCCAGGUAGACCUAAUGGCUGACAGAGGGAAUGCUCAGGUGACAAACUACUUUUCACUCUCCAAGGACCCUCAUGCUUUGGGUCAAGAAGCCCUUUCCCAUCAUUGGAACUUCAACCUUGAGUAUGUGCUCCCUCCCCUGAUUCCCUCUGAUGCCCUGGGUACUGAGAAAAAUCAGGAAGGUGAUAGCCAUUAUUCCGAUCUGGCCCUGGAGAACUUGGUAUGGAAAAUGUCUGACCCAUCCUUAGUUACUUCCAAUCUCCCCGCACGGUCUAAUCCAGGGUCCAGUGACUCACCCCAAUCCAUCCAGCUGGAACUUGGGGGCCUGGCUGUUGAAAUGGGUUCCCUUCUUAAGCAGGGCCUAUCCAAAGCAGUAAUUAAUACACUCCUGAAGGCAAGGAAACAGUCUACAUCUACCUGCUAUUACGAAAUUUGUCGGCCCUCAUGGGAAUUUCUCCCUCUCAUCUCAAGGUUCUUUAGUAAACUCAAUACAUUAUAUAACUCGUUCAGUUGAUUUGUGCUACAAUGUAUAAAUAACUAAACUGGUUAUCGCUGAAAUCCAGAUGGACCCUUCAUCUUUCCAGCCUUGUGUUUACGAGCUUUUCUGGGAAGCUCCCGCCCUACCUGAGCAGAAUGCUGUCUCCGGCUGUUCCCCCUCCUGUUACCUCCAAUCCAGUACCAGCACUUUAUUUAGUCUACCUCAAUACAAAAAGAAAGCAGCCCAAUCCUCCUUUUCCUACAGAGCACCGCAAUUAUGGAACGACCUCCUGCACAUUUUCAAAUCUUCCCCAAGCAUAAAAUCCUUUAAGAGACCCCUCUCUACAUACCUCAAAACAGAAUGCAC